This 640-nucleotide ribosomal RNA is filed under the name alpha proteobacterium 9PSW-9. RNAcentral describes it as "bacterial SSU rRNA". It matches the Rfam family "Bacterial small subunit ribosomal RNA", at positions 139 to 813 of the family's 1533-position model. Lineage: Bacteria; Pseudomonadati; Pseudomonadota; Alphaproteobacteria. The record is from RNAcentral.
GGGAAUAGCCCCUGGAAACUGUGAUUAAUACCCUAUGUGCCCUUCGGGGGAAAGAUUUAUCGCCUUUGGAUCGGCCCGCGUUAGAUUAAAUAGUUGGUGGGGUAACGGCCUACCAAGUCUACAAUCUAUAGCUGGUUUUAGAGGAUGAUCAGCAACACUGGGACUGAAACACGGCCCAAACUCCUACGGGAGGCAGCAGUGGGGAAUCUUGGACAAUGGGGGCAACCCUGAUCCACCCAUGCCGCGUGAGUGAUGAAGGCCCUAGGGUCGUAAAGCUCUUUCCCCUGUAAAAAUAAUGACUGUCCCAGGUAAAAAAACCCCGGCUAACUCCGUGCCACCACCCGCGGUAAUACGGAGGGGGUUAGCGUUGUUCGAAAUUACUGGGCGUAAAGCGCGCGUAGGCGGACUGGAAAUUUGGGGGUGAAAUCCCGGGGCUCAACCCCGGACCUGCCUCCAAAACUAUCAGUCUAGAGUUCGAGAGAGGUGAGUGGAAUUCCGAGUGUAGAGGUGAAAUUCGUAAAUAUUCGGAGGAACACCAGUGGCAAAGGCGGCUCACUGGCUCGAUACUGACGCUGAGGUGCGAAAGUGUGGGGAGCAAACAGGAUUAGAUACCCUGGUAGUCCACACCGUAAACGAUGAA